GAAAAGUGGCCACUCUUCGUACGUUUGUCAUAUAGCCACUGGCGAUUUCUUGCUUCCUCAGUGGUCAAAAGUUCUCCUUCGAAAAGAAAAAGAAAUCACAAUCCAAAAAAGGAACCAGUUUGUCAAAAGGAAUCAUUAUAAGUACACAUCAGCACAAAAAGAACAAGAAAGUAGAUAACUUUGUCCACGUCGACAAUUUUCAAGUCUUGAGAAGUUUGAGAAAAUUCAUAUAUACUGUGUUUACUGAUUAGUGAAAUGCCAAGAUAACUUCACCAAUUUCAACAAUUAUUGUGGACACCACUCUCAAGAGAAUAGUCAAUUUAGCUUUAUUUAGAUGAUUAAAAAAUGGGGAAAGGCUCAAAUAU
Molecule: long non-coding RNA, 365 nt
Filed under: Solanum lycopersicum (tomato)
Lineage: Eukaryota; Viridiplantae; Streptophyta; Magnoliopsida; Solanales; Solanaceae
Description: long non-coding RNA (SLYC_LNC000324)
Source: RNAcentral